This 424-nucleotide ribosomal RNA is filed under the name uncultured prokaryote. RNAcentral's name for it is "bacterial SSU rRNA". It matches the Rfam family "Bacterial small subunit ribosomal RNA", at positions 355 to 796 of the family's 1533-position model. The record is from RNAcentral.
UGGGGAAUCUUGGACAAUGGGGGCAACCCUGAUCCAGCCAUGCCGCGUGAGCGAUGACGGCCUUAGGGUUGUAAAGCUCUUUCAACGGUGACGAUAAUGACGGUAGCCGUAGAAGAAGUCCCGGCUAACUCCGUGCCAGCAGCCGCGGUAAUACGGAGGGGACUAGCGUUGUUCGGAAUUACUGGGCGUAAAGCGCGCGUAGGCGGACUGUUAAGUCGGGGGUGAAAUCCCGGGGCUCAACCCCGGAACUGCCUUCGAUACUGGCGGUCUAGAGUCCGUGAGAGGUUGGUGGAAUGGCGAGUGUAGAGGUGAAAUUCGUAGAUAUUCGCCGGAACACCAGUGGCGAAGGCGGCCAACUGGCACGGUACUGACGCUGAGGUGCGAAAGCGUGGGGAGCAAACAGGAUUAGAUACCCCCGUAGUCC